AGUCGUAACAAGGUUUCCGUAGGUGAACCUGCGGAAGGAUCAUUGUCGAAACCUGCCAAGCAGAAAGACCAGCGAACAUGUCAUAACACAAUGCUUGGGGAAGGGUUGCUUGUACUUCUUGCUGUCUUCCCCAUGCCAGGCGUGAUCCUUUGGGGUUGCGACUGGGCACCAUAACAAAACCCCGGCGUGUUAAACGCCAAGGAACAUCAACAAUAGAUUGCGUAAUCCUUUGCCCGGUUAAUCGGUGCAAGGAUACGAAAUCCAAUGUAAGUCAUGAAACGACUCUCGGCAACGGAUAUCUCGGCUCUCGCAUCGAUGAAGAACGUAGCAAAAUGCGAUACUUGGUGUGAAUUGCAGAAUCCCGUGAACCAUCGAGUUUUUGAACGCAAGUUGCGCCCGAAGCCUUUUGGCCAGGGCACGUCUGCCUGGGCGUCACGCAUACCGUCUCCCCCAACUCAUUGAGCUCGAGUAGGGAGAGGAUGUUGGCUUCCCAUGCAUAUCACCUGGCAUGGUUGGCCUAAAAAUAGAGCCCCUAGCUAUUGGAUGCUGCGGCGUUUGGUGGUAAAAUAAGGUUAUUGUAACCUAUUAAACAUCGCGUCGAGUAAACGGUAGCUAACGUGGCCUUGUUGGMCCCUUACUAAACCUAUGCGACCCCAGGUCAGGCGGGGU
RNAcentral lists this ribosomal RNA (669 nucleotides) under Tidestromia suffruticosa var. oblongifolia. RNAcentral describes it as "eukaryotic LSU rRNA". The stretch from base 281 to 435 matches the Rfam family "5.8S ribosomal RNA". Lineage: Eukaryota; Viridiplantae; Streptophyta; Magnoliopsida; Caryophyllales; Amaranthaceae. The record is from RNAcentral.